AACGAACGCUGGCGGCAGGCCUAACACAUGCCAGUCGAGCGCGCCUUCGGGUGAGCGGCGGACGGGUGAGUAACGCGUGGGAAUAUGCCCUUCUCUACGGAAUAGUCCUGGGAAACUGGGGGUAAUACCGUAUACGCCCUUUGGGGGAAAGAUUUAUCGGGGAAGGAUUAGCCCGCGUUGGAUUAGGUAGUUGGUGGGGUAAUGGCCUACCAAGCCGACGAUCCAUAGCUGGUUUGAGAGGAUGAUCAGCCACACUGGGACUGAGACACGGCCCAGACUCCUACGGGAGGCAGCAGUGGGGAAUCUUAGACAAUGGGGGCAACCCUGAUCUAGCCAUGCCGCGUGUGUGAUGAAGGCCUUAGGGUUGUAAAGCUCUUUCAGCUGGGAAGAUAAUGACGGUACCAGCAGAAGAAGCCCCGGCUAACUCCGUG
This 431-nucleotide ribosomal RNA is filed under the name uncultured bacterium. RNAcentral describes it as "partial 16S ribosomal RNA". It matches the Rfam family "Bacterial small subunit ribosomal RNA", at positions 29 to 507 of the family's 1533-position model. The record is from RNAcentral.